RNAcentral lists this ribosomal RNA (621 nucleotides) under uncultured bacterium. Its description in RNAcentral is "bacterial SSU rRNA". The stretch from base 1 to 536 matches the Rfam family "Bacterial small subunit ribosomal RNA", at positions 338 to 873 of the family's 1533-position model. The record is from RNAcentral.
CCUACGGGAGGCAGCAGUAAGGAAUAUUGGUCAAUGGACGCAAGUCUGAACCAGCCAUGCCGCGUGAAGGAUUAAGGUCCUCUGGAUUGUAAACUUCUUUUAUUUGGGACGAAAAAGGGCCUUUCUAGGUCAACUGACGGUACCAGAUGAAUAAGCACCGGCUAACUCCGUGCCAGCAGCCGCGGUAAUACGGAGGGUGCAAGCGUUAUCCGGAUUCACUGGGUUUAAAGGGUGCGUAGGCGGGUAGGUAAGUCAGUGGUGAAAUCCUAGAGCUUAACUCUAGAACUGCCAUUGAUACUAUCUAUCUUGAAUAUUGUGGAGGUAAGCGGAAUAUGUCAUGUAGCGGUGAAAUGCUUAGAUAUGACAUAGAACACCUAUUGCGAAGGCAGCUUACUACGCAUAUAUUGACGCUGAGGCACGAAAGCGUGGGGAUCAAACAGGAUUAGAUACCCUGGUAGUCCACGCCCUAAACUAUGAUUACUCGACAUUUGAGAUACACAUUAAGUGUNUGAGAGAAGAGAUAAGUAAUACUAACCGUAGGUAGUUACGUUCCGUCGAGAGUAGAACGACAAUAGAGUUAGACGGCGNGAGACGNGCGACGGACGACGACGAGGGAGGAGG